GGCUGGGAGCAGCGCAGCCUCGGGAGGAGGAGGCGGAGGCGGGGGCGACUGGGGAGGCGGAGAUGGGACCAGAAAUUUCGUUCAACCCUAUCUGGUGCAUCUUUGGCAGAAAGUGAGGACAACACCAUUGUUCUUUGGCAUGGACACAAGUUCAGUGGGAACAUUAGAACUGACUGAUCAAAGUCCCGUUUUAUUAGGAAGCACAGCCAUGGCAACUAGUCUCACGAACGUAGGAAAUUCAUUUAGUGGCCCACCUAAUCCUUUAGUGUCUAGAUCUAGUAAGUUCCAGAAUUCAUCAGUGGAAGAUGAUGAUGAUGUUGUUUUUAUUGAACCCGUACAACCUCCUCCAUCUUCUGCACCUUUGGUUGCUGAUCAAAG
RNAcentral lists this long non-coding RNA (378 nucleotides) under Rattus norvegicus (Norway rat). RNAcentral describes it as "long non-coding RNA NONRATT010468". Lineage: Eukaryota; Metazoa; Chordata; Mammalia; Rodentia; Muridae. The record is from RNAcentral.